GACGAACGCUGGCGGCGUGCCUAAUACAUGCAAGUCGAGCGGACCUUCGGGGUUAGCGGCGGACGGGUGAGUAACACGUGGGUAAUCUGCCCAACUGACUGGAAUAACGCCUGGAAACGGGUGCUAAUGCCGGAUAGGCAACUGGUAGGCAUCUACCGGUUGGGAAAGGUGCAACUGCACCGCAGAUGGAGGAGCCCGCGGCGCAUUAGCUAGUUGGUGGGGUAACGGCCUACCAAGGCGACGAUGCGUAGCCGACCUGAGAGGGUGGACGGCCACACUGGGACUGAGACACGGCCCAGACUCCUACGGGAGGCAGCAGUAGGGAAUCUUCCGCAAUGGGCGCAAGCCUGACGGAGCAACGCCGCGUGAGCGAAGAAGGCCUUCGGGUUGUAAAGCUCAGUCACUCGGGAAGAGCGGACGAGGGAGUGGAAAGCCCUCGUCGAGACGGUACCGAGAGAGGAAGCCCCGGCUAACUACGUG
This 480-nucleotide ribosomal RNA is filed under the name uncultured bacterium. Its description in RNAcentral is "bacterial SSU rRNA". It matches the Rfam family "Bacterial small subunit ribosomal RNA", at positions 28 to 507 of the family's 1533-position model. The record is from RNAcentral.